RNAcentral lists this ribosomal RNA (449 nucleotides) under uncultured bacterium. RNAcentral's name for it is "partial 16S ribosomal RNA". It matches the Rfam family "Bacterial small subunit ribosomal RNA", at positions 29 to 523 of the family's 1533-position model. The record is from RNAcentral.
AACGAACGCUGGCGGCAUGCCUAACACAUGCAAGUCGAACGAGACCUUCGGGUCUAGUGGCGCACGGGUGCGUAACGCGUGGGAAUCUGCCCUUGGGUUCGGAAUAACAGUUAGAAAUGACUGCUAAUACCGGAUGAUGACGAAAGUCCAAAGAUUUAUCGCCCAAGGAUGAGCCCGCGUAGGAUUAGCUAGUUGGUGGGGUAAAGGCCUACCAAGGCGACGAUCCUUAGCUGGUCUGAGAGGAUGAUCAGCCACACUGGGACUGAGACACGGCCCAGACUCCUACGGGAGGCAGCAGUGGGGAAUAUUGGACAAUGGGCGAAAGCCUGAUCCAGCAAUGCCGCGUGAGUGAUGAAGGCCCUCGGGUCGUAAAGCUCUUUUACCCGGGAUGAUAAUGACAGUACCGGGAGAAUAAGCCCCGGCUAACUCCGUGCCAGCAGCCGCAGUAA